CGAAUUGUAUAACAUUUAUUGUGUUGUUUCUUUUCAGUCUGGAUGUUUAUAAGAGCAAUGAAGACGGAGCUUAAAGAAGUGGUCGUGACGAGAGAAGGUAAG
Silurus meridionalis is the source of this 102-nucleotide long non-coding RNA. RefSeq lists it as uncharacterized. The record is from RefSeq and is a predicted model, not a curated record. The transcript is spliced from 3 exons. NCBI's taxonomy places the organism in Eukaryota, Metazoa, Chordata, Actinopteri, Siluriformes, Siluridae.